Molecule: ribosomal RNA, 503 nt
Filed under: Cyclargus sp. BOLD:AAN3640
Lineage: Eukaryota; Metazoa; Arthropoda; Insecta; Lepidoptera; Lycaenidae
Description: partial 16S ribosomal RNA
Rfam family: Bacterial large subunit ribosomal RNA
Source: RNAcentral
UCAAUCUGCCCCCUGAUUAAAAAAAUUAAAGGGCUGCAGUAAUUUGACUGUACAAAGGUAGCAUAAUCAUUAGUCUUUUAAUUGAAGACUUGUAUGAAUGAUUUGAUGAAAUAUAAACUGUCUCUAAUUUAUAUUUAAAAAUUAAUUUUUUAGUUAAAAAGCUAAAAUUUAUUUAAAAGACGAGAAGACCCUAUAGAGUUUAAUAAUUUGAUAUUUAGAAUAUUUAUAUAAAAUUUUAAUAUAAUAUUUAUUAAUUUAUUUUGUUGGGGUGAUAAAAAAAUAAAAAAAACUUUUUUUUUUAUUAUCAUAAAUAAGUGAGUAAAUGAUCCAAAUUAAUGAUUAUAAGAAAAAAUUACCUUAGGGAUAACAGCGUAAUAUUUUUUUUUAGUACAAAUAAAAAAAAAAGUUUGCGACCUCGAUGUUGGAUUAAGAUAAAAUUUAAAUGCAAAAGUUUAAAAUUUUUGAUCUGUUCGAUCAUUAAAAUCUUACGUGAUCUGAGUUCA